GCGGAAGGGUGAGUAAUAUAUCGGAACGUGCCCAGUAGCGGGGGAUAACUACUCGAAAGAGUGGCUAGGACCGCACACGCCCCAGGGGCGAAAGGGGGGGUUCGGAAGACCUCUCACUAUUGGAGCGGCCGAUAUCGGAUUAACUAGUUGGUGGGGUAAAGGCUCACCAAGGCAACGAUCCGUAGCUGGUUUGAGAGGACCACCACCCACACUGGGACUGACACACGGCCCACACUCCUACGGGAGGCAGCAGUGGGGAAUUUUGGACAAUGGGGGAAACCCUGAUCCAACCAUCCCGCGUGUAUGAUGAAGGCCUUCGGUUUGUAAAGUACUUUUGGCAGAAAAAAAAAGGUAUCCCCUAAUACGGGAUACUGCUGACGGUAUCUGCAAAAUAACCACCGGCUAACUACGUGCCGACAGCCGCGGUAAUACAUAGGGUGCAAGCGUUAAUCGGAAUUACUGGGCGUAAAGCGUGUGUAGGCGGUUCGGAAACAAACAUGUGAAAUCCCAGGGCUCAACCUUGGAACUGCAUUUUUAACUGCCAAACUAGGUUAUGUCAGAGGGGGGUACAAUUCCCCCUG
This 581-nucleotide ribosomal RNA is filed under the name Alcaligenes faecalis. RNAcentral's name for it is "partial 16S ribosomal RNA". It matches the Rfam family "Bacterial small subunit ribosomal RNA", at positions 98 to 675 of the family's 1533-position model. Lineage: Bacteria; Pseudomonadati; Pseudomonadota; Betaproteobacteria; Burkholderiales; Alcaligenaceae. The record is from RNAcentral.